Molecule: non-coding RNA, 598 nt
Organism: Pelobates cultripes (western spadefoot toad)
Lineage: Eukaryota; Metazoa; Chordata; Amphibia; Anura; Pelobatidae
Source: the annotation of a GenBank genome assembly
GCCAGAAGCCCCCUGAUAGUCCUCCAGUACACUCCACUAUUGGUCACAAGUAGCUCUUUCAGUGGUGCUGCCCGGAACUCCACUUAGGUUUUACAGUUUCUUCUUCAUUGAGGACUUAGGAAACCAGAUUGUGUUGGGGGACUACCUGGAGGCUUCUCGCCCUUGGGGCAAAAGUGCAGUUUGUUAUUGUGCUUUGCCUCUGUCAGUGAAUGUCUACUAUAUUUUAAUGUUAUACUAGAUUUUAUUUAUGUGCUUUCUGCCACCUGUGUUUUAUUUUGUAUGAGAAUUUGCUGUUUCUUAAGGUAACAGUACCCCAAUUUGAAUGCACUGACACUUUGUGAUAUCCUAUCCAUACCUAUUUCUAUAGAUUUUAUUAUAAGGGCAAGACUUUAACCACUCGAACAUCUCAAAUAUCAGCACCUGUAUGUCUGUUUAUUGCAACUACCAUGAUUAUCUGCGAGAUCAUGCCUUAGGGUGUCACAGUUCAACAUCUCUAUGCUAUCCCAUUGUACAGCGCUACGGAGUUUGCUGGCGCUAUAUAAAUAAUAAAAUAAUGAUAAAUAAUAAUCAUGAUGCAUAUAUGGCUUCUGUAAAUUGG